This 468-nucleotide ribosomal RNA is filed under the name uncultured bacterium. RNAcentral's name for it is "partial 16S ribosomal RNA". It matches the Rfam family "Bacterial small subunit ribosomal RNA", at positions 28 to 507 of the family's 1533-position model. The record is from RNAcentral.
GACGAACGCUGGCGGCGUGCUUAACACAUGCAAGUCGAACGGCGAAGCACUAGCUUGUUGGAGUGGCUCAGUGGCGAUCGGGUGAGUAACACGUGAGCAACCUGCUCUAGACUCUGGUAUAAGCGAUGGAAACGGCGCGUACUACUGGAUACGAGACGGGCUCGCAUGGGCACUUUCUGGACUGCUUUGCGGUAGUGGAUGGGCUAGCGGCUUAUCAGCUUGUUGGUGAGGUAAUGGCUCACCAAGGAGACGGAUGGUAGCCGGCCUGUGAGGGAGACCGGCCACACUGGGACUGAGGGACGGCCCAGAGUGCUACGGGGGGCAGCAGGGGGGAAUAUUGCACAAUGGGCGCAAGCCGGAUGCAGCGACGCCGCGGUAGGGAUGACGGCCUUCUGGUUGUGAACCGCAGUCGGCUAAGAAGAAGCGAUAGUGACGGUACCUGCAGAAGAAGCACCGGCUAACUUCGUG